CUCAUUUUAUCCUCACAACGAUGCUAGGAGGUAGGUGUUAUUAUUAUCUUUAUUUUAUAGAUGAGUAAACUGACACAGAGAGGUCAAGUGACAAAGUUGGCCAGAUUUAAACUUGGAUCUUCCUGACUCCAGGUCCAAAGCUCUACCCAGGGGGGCACCAGCUGCCUCUUAAGAAACGGAGCAUCACUGGUCACUAAUUUAACUAGUAUGUUGGGAUUCAAUUAGCCAAGUAAUGGAUUACGCCAAUUGUCAAGUCUUGUCCAGAAAGAGAGCCUUUAGUUCAUCCCCUUGGAAGGAGCCCUCACUCAUAUCCCGAGUCCCCAUCAAUCUCUAAAUUGGGACCUUAUCAUGUCCUAAGUGGCACAGUGGAAAUAGCACUGGGCCUGGAGUAAGGAAGCUAGCUAUGUGAUCUCAGGUAAGUCACUUAACCUCUCCCAACCUCAGUUUCUUCAUCUGUAAAAUAGGGAUAAAAUAGAACUGACUUCUCGGGGUUGUAAGGAUCAAGUAACACUGGUAAAGUGCAUUAGAAUUAUUUAUACACAUAGCUUAUGCCCCCUCCACUCUUCCAUCGUCAGUUCUUUGAGUACAGAGACUAUAUGUCUUAUGUUCUCUUUUAUCUUCAAGCUCAGAGUGCAGAUGGAUCCCCAACGCUGUGCAGAAUAUGCCAGUCCAAGCCUAGGCUUUCAGAAUUUAGGGAUGGCCCAGGCCAAUUCCCAGGGUCACCCCUGGUCACCUACGUAGGUCGUAGAGUACGUCCAGGAGCACCCACGGGCUAUCAUGAGGUCACAGAGGAACACAGCUACAGAGUUGUAAACACUCAGUCCCUUUCCUGCCGCAAUGGGGUACAGGACGAAGCCCAGCUUCCUCCAACUCCCCAACUGGAAAAGUACUCCGGAGAGGAAAUCUUGUUCCUACAAACCCUAAAGUCAGCCUGUAUGGGGGAAACCAAUGGCAUGGGGCAAGAGGAGCGUGCAUACAGUACUAGCUGGCUAAAGCCCCGUCUGCUCUACUGCGUACUUUCCAAAUCUGUGAGUCACCACCUAUGGCAGCAGCUGGAGGUAGUGUGGAAGGAUCUCCAAAGCGGAAGGGACCGGGACCCACACACACUUUUUGACGCAGGGGAGGGUUCUGGUCACACUCAUGCACACCUGGAGAAAUCACCGAGCGCUUCAAGGAGCAAACCUUCGCUACAGAGCCAGGCCUUGGGGCAGCAUCUCCCCCAGAGCCACAGGGGGUCGGUCCAUGGGUCCCACAGACACUCAGAGCCCGGCCACUCUGCCUCCGCCAGGGGUCUCUCCACCCCACGAGUUCCCCCCCGGGAAUUCAAGGGACCUACCUGUGCUGCCUCAACCUUGGCCAUGGCCCAGGCAGGAGCUGCCUCCUUAGGUUGCUCUAAACCGUGGAGUAGCCUUGGGCAAUAAUGCCUCCUAAGAAGCAGCCUGGAAGACGUCCAGGAGUUCUCUUCCCCCCUCUCACCUUCCAGGCUGGAGAGUCUACAGAUAAAGGGGGAAAGGAAAGUAAAUGUGGGUUCGGGAGGGGCAGGGGCUAGUUCCUGGGACUACUGCGCAUGUCCACAUCACCCUCCCCUUCUUACCAGGGCUGGAAGAGGGGGAGAACUGGGGGGGGGGCGGAGAGGGCGGGGUGGAGAAGGGGUUGGAAAGCAGAAGGAAAAGGGAGAGGGGGUGCUUGGAAGCGCCCUGCUUUCUAGAUAAAUGGCCUUUAGGUCAAGGAAAGAACCCACCAGGACCCCUCUUCCUUUCUUCUGGGUGCCCUGCACAUAAUAGGUACUCAAGAAAUAGCUGAUUCCUUAAGAGGUUCUGUUUCCCAGAGCGCCACUGUCACUCAAUCACACAGCUUAGUGCCUGGUCUUGAAGGAAAACUUGGGGUAUCCCUGGGUAACGGGAGAGCAGAUGAGACUCACAGGAGUGGGGCAGGUGAACAGAAUGGAAGAAGAACUCCCAAGGUUUCUGGAAGUGGAGCUAGACUGUUAGGCUGCCGGCAUUAGGAGAGCUGCUCUAGUCGGGGCAUUGCGAGGUGGGGUUACUCGGGAACUCCCAGGGUAGCAGUCAAGUCACCUCACCUCUCUAGCAAAGACUCACUUCGCUUCUAUUUUGUUAUUAGCACUUCAAAGCUGCUCUGAUGUCAGUACCCACCCUAGAGAGAGGUACCUAAAAGCGGGGAAAUCAAGUAGGGGGAAAAAAAGAAAUAACAAAUGAACUAAAAGCUGGUUCUUUGAAAAGACUAACAAAAUUGAUGUAGGCUUAGCAAAUUUAAUUUUUAAAGAGUAGCAAGUCAAUAAAAUUACAAAGGAGUAAAAUGAAAUCACAACAAAACAAAAAAGGAAAUAAAAUAGAAUAAUAGAAUAGAAAUAAUAUAGAAAUAAAAAAGAAUAAUCAGAAUAUAUUAUGCAAAGUUAUAUGCUAAUCCAAUAGAGAGCACAAAAGAAGUAGAGGAAUACUUUCAAAAAUAUAAAAUAUUCAAAUUAUCAGAAGAAAAUAUAGACAUCUUAAGCAAUCUGAUCUCAGACAUAGAAAUCAAACUAAUUGUAAAGAUACUAUCCAUAAAAAAAAAAGUCCAGGUCCUGAUAGAUUCUAAGAGAAUUUUAAUAAACUUUUAAAGAACCAUCAGUACCAAUACUUCACAACUUAUUCUUAAAACUGGAAAAAGAAAAAACCCUAUCAGAACCCUUUUAUGAGACAAAUAUAGUCAAUACCUUAGCCAAGGAAAGAUAAAACAUGCAAAGAAAGUAGUGUCAAUAUCAUUAAUGUACAUUAACUCAAAAAUUUUAAGCAAAAUCCUAUAAAACAGACUAUACUAAUUUGUCUGAAAAAUCAUUCAUUAUGAUCAAGUAGAAUAUUUAACAGGGAUACAAGAAUAAUUUGACAUUAGGGAAACAAUCAACAUAAUUAAUCAUAUUCAAAACCAUAUCAUCAACUCAAUAGUCAGAAAAAAGACAGUGAAAAAGUACAUUAUUCUCAUGCUAAAAACCCUACAACAUAUAGGCAGAGAGUCUGUCAUAAAAAACACCUAUUUAAUAAUAGCUAACAUUUAUAUAGUGCUUGCCAAGUGCUCUCUAAAUAUUAUUUCAGUUCAUCUUCACAAUCCUGGGAGGUAAGUAGGUGCUAUAUUAUCACUAUUUUAGAGAUGAAGAAAUUGAGGCAAACAGAUUUCAAGACUUGUCCAGGGUCACACAGCUAUUAAGUGUCUGAGGUCAUAUCUGAACUCAGCUCUCUGACUUCAGGAACAGUGCUCUACUGGCUGUACCACCUCACAUACCUGCUACAAACCAAAAAGCAAUCAUAUGCAAUGAUACACUAGAACCAUUUUCUUUUCUUUUUUUUAAAUCCUCACCUUUGGUCUUAGAAUCAAUACUGAGUAUUGGUUUCAGGGCAAGAAGAGUAAAGGACUAUACAAUUGAGGUCAUAUGACUUGUACAGGGUCACACAGGAAGUGUCUGAAGCCAGUUGGUGGAACUGUGAACUGAUCCAACCAUUUUGGAGAGCAAUCUGGAAUUAUUCCCCAAAACUUUGUAUACCUUUUGACCCAACAGUACCACUAUUUGGUUUAUUUUCUAAGGUGAUCAAGAAAAAGGGAGAGAAUCUACAUGUUCUAAAAUAUUUAUAACAGCUCUCUUUUUGGUAACAAAGAACUGGGAAUUGAGAGGAUGCCCAUUAAUUGGGAAAUAGCUAGAAAAAUUGUGGCACAUGACUGUGAUAGAAUUCUACUGCCCUAUAAGAAAUGAUAAGCAGAUUAACUUUUUAAAACAUGGACAGAUUUACAUGAAAAUAUGGAGUGAAAUGAGUAGAACCAAGAGAAUAUUAUAUGCAGAAACAGAAAUAUUUCAAGAAUGCCUUGUGUUUGUCCACUUCUAGAGAAAGAACUGACAGUAAGAAACAAGCAAAACAUAUUUUUAUAUACACAUAUAUCUUUUUGUCAAAUGAUACCUUCUCCAGUGGAGGGAGAAGAAGGAACGAGGGAGUUGCCUGGGAAUUUUAAUGUAACAAACUAAAAGAAAGGGGAAAAAAAUACAAAUCCAAACAAAGCUGAGGCUUCACCUCAAUAUCCUGAAAAUUGGCCAAAAUGACCAAAGAAUGAAAUGCCAAUCAUACACAUUAGGAGGCUGUGUAAACUCAUUACACACUGCUAAUGGAGCUUUGAACAUUUUGGAAAAUGAUUUGAAGUUCUGCAAAUAAAGUAACUAAAAUGUCCCUACCCUUUGAAUCAGGGAUGUCAUUACUGGGAUUAUUCCACAAAGAUGCCAUUGAUAAGAAAAAAGUCACUAUAUAUUCUAAAAUAUUUAUAAUAGUAAUUUUUAUGAUAGCUAAUCAUCAGAAUAAAGUAGAUUCUCAUAACUGGUGAAUGGCUAGACAAAUUUUGGAAUGAGUAUAAUGGAACAGUUCUAGGCUGUAAGAAAUUAUGUGGGAAAGGAGAUAGAAUAAGCAAAUUAGAACAGGGAGCAUACUACCUAUCAGAUUUAAGGAUAGGAGAGGAAUUGGAAUAAAAAAGAGAUGGAGAGUAUUGUGAGGUGUAAAAUGGACAGUUUUGAUUACAUUAAAUUAAAAGGUUUCUGUACAAAUAAAACUAAUGUGGCCAAGAUUAGAUGGAAAGCAGAAAACUGGGGAGAACUUUUUAUAGACAAUUUCUCAGAGGUCUUUUAUUUAAAAUAUAGAGAACUUUGUCAAAUUUAUAAGGAUAAGAGCCAUCCUCCAAAUGGAUAAAAGAUAGGAAGAGUUUUGGAUAAAGAAAUCAAAGUUAUAUAUAGGUAUAUGAAAAAAUGCUCUAAAUCACUACUUAGAGGAAUGCAAAUCAAAAUGAUUCAGAGAUAUUGUCUUACACCUAUCAGAUUAGCUAAAAUGACAAAUGCUGGAACAGAUUUGGAAAAAUGGGGACAUUAAAUACACUGUUGGUGGAAAUGUGAACUGAUCCAACUAUUUUUGAGGAUGAUUUGGAAUUAUGCCUAAAGAGUUAUAAAACUGUGUAUAUCCUUAGGGCCAUUCCUGGCUCUAUUUCUCAAGGAGAUUAGGAUCCAAGAUAUUUAUAGUGGUUCUCUUUGUGGUGACAAAGAAAUGGAAAUUGAGGGGAUACCCAUAAUUUGGGGCAUGGUUGGACAAAAUGUGGUAUUUGAUUGUGAUAGUAUACUACUGUGCCAUAAGAAACAAUGACCAGGUUAAUUAAAAAAAAGUUGGAAAGAUCUAUAUGAAGUAAUGAAGAGUGAAACAAAUAGAAGAGAACAUUAUAUACAGCUAUUGAACUAUUAGUUGAAGAAUUUGUCAAUGUCCACCUUGAGAGAAUGACCUGAAAAACAGAAAUAUAUGAACAUAACUUUUUGUCAGAUGAUGCCUUCUUUGGUCUCAUUUGAGUCUCAGAUGAAGAGAUAGAAGACACCCCCAACCUAGCCUUUCCUGGAGAUAAGAGUUCCACAGGAAUUAAACACUGAACAUGUUUUCAGACUUUUUCAAUGUAUAAUUAUGCUGAUUUUUUUCUCUUCCCUCAAAAAAAGACUGUUUUAAAUAUGAGAUAGAUCUCUGUAAGGAGAAGCAGGAGGGAUCCAUGGGAUAUGAUGCUGAUAACAAAAAAUAUAUAAUAUAUAUAUAUACAUAUAUAUUAAUGAAAACUUAUUGUAAAAAAAAAAGAAAAUGAUGCCAGAAGUUAUAAGGAAGUUGGCAGUUGGCAUAAAGAACUAAAUAAAGGUAUAGAUCCUUGUAAAGUCAAAUAAGGAGGUGGUGGAAUUGGUUUUACCAUGUGUCCCAAAGGCAUCAAAAAACUUAUUUCAUGGUACACAUGGUCAUCUCACUUUGCAAUGUUUAUGGUGAGCAAAAAUACUAUCAUGGUGAUCAUUACAUUUUGUGCCCCAAGAUCUGUUCCAGAAGGUGAAAAGAUUGAGAAAUUCCACACGAAAACUUGGAAAGGUCCUUCAGACCAAGGAUACAUAUAUGGUAACUUAGACACGAAGGUGUGCACAGAGGAGGGCAGCAGAAAAUGUGUUUGAAAAUAUGCUUCAGGGCUUAGAAACAAAGGACCUAUAGAAACAAACCCAUUCAAUGACUGGUACAAAGUCAGAGCUGAAUUCAACAAACCUUUAUUAAGCAAACAACAUGUGGAAGGAAGAAGGAAGAUAGUGUGUGAUGAGAAAAUGGUACUCCCAGUGAGAUUAAGGCACUCAACUAAGACCAUAGGCAGAAUCUGAAUACCCACGUAGGGAAGGAGAUUUCUGCAUUGGGAGAAUAUUGGGCUAGAUGACCUUCUGGACUACAGAAUAUCUGGUACUGGACUCCAGGUCAGAGAAGCUAGUCCUAAUUUGUUGUUUGGCAGCUGUAUGGCCAUGGCAAACCUCUCUGCACCUCAAGUUUCUUCAUUUGGAAAAUCAGGCAGUUGGUCUAGGUAGUUUCCAAAGUCCUCAGUCUAUGAUCUAUAUUCCAUUUAUACAACACUGUUCGUAAAUUACAAAACAACCCUGCUCGCACCCUGAAGACUUAUGGGGCAAGCUGGUCAGUAAGAAAGAAGGGUGGAGGAGCAGGAGACACUAGCUGUCAUGACUGUCCUUGUUCAUUGAGAGUCGCCUGGAAAGGGAGGGCUGUUUGUUAGGAGAUCGUGAGCCGUGCUAAGGCAGAAGUGCGCAUGCGGGGAAAUUGGGGGCCUUACGGUAAGCAUAGAGAAGCCUUUCAGGGAGACAAAGAGAUGCAUUCUGGGAGAUGUAAUGUCGUAAGCAAGUGACUAGAGAACAGCGGGUCCGAGCCCGUGAUCAUACUCACCACCAAGACCGUGCUAUAAGGUGGGGGAAGAAGUGGGAAGGCGGCCUUGGUGGGUGGAAGAUGAGUCGAAAGAUGGCUACCAGUGCCAUCUCACAAAGUGAGAAUGAUGUCACUUCCUCUGAAGUGGAACAGGAAGUACUCCACCGGAAGGAGCAGUUGCUACGAACCGGUUGCUUAGGUAACAGCGGUCCAUCCUUUGUGAGACAGGCGGCUAGCAAAGGGGAGGAGGAGUUGGGGGACUAGUUGUUUUGUUCUUGGGACCUCGAUAAAGAAGGCGUCAUCUCUAUCUAUGAUAGUGCCCUGCAUGCGGCUCCCAGACUGCUCUUCCUUGAGGGGUCGGUGUUGGUGCCCCUUGCUUGUGCACCUCUUGUGCACCGCUUGUGCUAGAGGUCUAUGACUUUGGGACUGCUUUGCCUCCUCUGGGCCAUUUUCUCAAAUAUGGCGCUGGCCCUCCAAUCUCUUAGGUCCCUUCUUAAUAGCCCUGACGUAAGCAGCUCCAAGCCAUCGCCUCCCUGGAAGAGGCAGAGACCCCGCGUGGCAGUCAGGGACAAAAUGGCCUUCAAGACUUCUUGUCUGGGAAGAGAGGGAAUGUCAUACGUGGAAAUUUGAAUUUUGAAAUACCCAUGAUAAUAUUCACUGAAGAAUGGAAAGAAGAAUUAUUUAUGAUCGCAUCAAUGUGGAUAUUCUCUGGAUAUUACCUCUUUGGGAUCAAUUUCUUCAGGAGUUGGACUUAGAGAUUUCAGUCUUUUCUAGAUCAAAAUCCAAGAUGCUGUAGUACUUUCAACGAUAAAUAUUGCAACUCGUUUUUAAAAUUUUACAA
This is a long non-coding RNA of Monodelphis domestica (gray short-tailed opossum), 7572 nucleotides long. RefSeq lists it as uncharacterized. The record is from RefSeq and is a predicted model, not a curated record. Lineage: Eukaryota; Metazoa; Chordata; Mammalia; Didelphimorphia; Didelphidae.